Long non-coding RNA from Sardina pilchardus (European sardine), 2771 nucleotides. RefSeq lists it as uncharacterized. Lineage: Eukaryota; Metazoa; Chordata; Actinopteri; Clupeiformes; Clupeidae. The record is from RefSeq and is a predicted model, not a curated record. The transcript is spliced from 6 exons.
GCUAAAAAACAUUUAACUUCUUUAGCAACCAACAUAAUGUCUCCAUUCACUUAAUUCAAACCAUUCAUAACUUCUUACCAACAUCCAUUUAACUAUCAGUCUAUCAGCAUUUAUUAAACUUGUGCUGCAUGUUUGUUAUGCAACCAUCACAAUAAUGCGCUUAAUGUGCAGAGUGCUUGACUCCCUAUGCCUUUGAUGCUAAUAUGUCUUUUUUAUGUCUGUUUGUAAUCCAGCAUUUAUUGGUAAUUAGCCAUUCAGCUGGCCAGCCUGUUCACGUGAAACCUUUCAAUCAUUCACGCCACAUUACAAACAUUUCUCAUUCAAUGCCCAGGUCUUCGACUGUGCGGUACUGGUUUUCAUUUGGCAAAUUUGUCUUACAUUGACGUUACACUGAGGAAUAUCAAGGUAUCAACACACCCAAGGUAAGUUAUUUAAAGGUCAUUGAUUUCUAAAGUAGCCUUAAUGUUAACUAUGUCUUAAGAAUUGUCCCGAUAUCUAACGUUAACUAGAUAAGUAAGUUAGCGAAGCCUGUCUGUUGGUAACGUUAGCUAACACUAACUUUUAGCAACCGGCUCAUAACUUUCUAUUUUUUGUAUUUCAACCAAGGGGAAAUUAAGUUAAAAUGUAUCAGAUAGUGUAACUUUUCAUUGAGCAUAAUGUUUCUAAUGUUAAAGUAUUAACAAGUCACGUAACUUCUAGCACUACUGGAUUAGCGAUAUAGGUCUUGAUUCUAGGUUACGUUAACGUUAACUACAGUAAAUGCCGAUACAGGUGUUGAUGAUUAACUUUAGGCUACUUUGGCAUGCUAGUCACUUUCGUCACUCGCUUUGUAACGUUAAACACCGUGUGCCGUUUGCCGUAUCACAACCAAAGUUAUAUGAAGUAAUGUAGUGCUAAUUUAAAAUCUGUGGACGAAUGUAUUGUUAAUAACUCCUAAAAUUAGUCCGGCGUGUUCUGAGGAUUAGCCACGUCUGUCAGACUCGACAUUACAGUAGUUAGCGAGCUAGAUAAAGUUAACGUCACCGAAUUAAAGAUAUGUUAAAUAUCCGGCAUACCCGCCAUCUACCUUGUAUAACAUCGUUAGCCUGAUUACCAUCGACUUUCAAAGGCUCUGCGAGACUUUAGUCUGACCAACAGCCUGUGCUAACAUGGUUUCUUGCAAGCGCUGGUUGACCCGCCUCCUUUAAGUGCCUCGAUUUGCUACUGGUAGAUGUCAGAAAGCGGUUUGCCGAGUUUAAACCAAUAACAACACUCUUUCCUCUGCCUUGAACACGCCUCUACCCAGAGCCGUUUGAGCUGCUCAAAGUUGAUUGGUUCUCGACCAAAGGGGGCAGUUCCGCAGAUUUCGGGAACUCAGAAAUCCUUCUCAAUGAGCAGUUGACCAGACCAGCAGCAAAAGCCUGAAGGCGUUGCGUCACUGGGAGGGCGUGCCAGGCUAUAACAUCGUAGCCAAGGACAUUUGUUAUUUCAAUCGUGUAACCUAACGCUAUUAGUGCAUGUCGUCAAAUGAAAUAUGUGCUUGUAAGUAUGGAUGUUUGUUGCAGUGUUGUAAUGCAGUUGGAUAUUUUUCUGUCUUUCAGGCUUUUCCCAUUUGAGACUGUGUGGCCAUCACUCUUUGCUGCUGUGGAGUCAUCAGUCUUUGCUGCCAAUCUCUGUUGCCACUCGGCUGUGUAGUCAUCAGUCUUUGCUGCCAAUCUCUGUUGCCACUCAGCCUUUCUCAUUGUGUGGGAACACCCGACUGUGUGGCCACUUGUGCUGUGAAUCGCCCCUGGCUCUCAAGUCACUUCACCCCAUAACUCCACCCACUUCACAUUUCUGAAAACGGCUUUCAAAAUGGGCGAGACGUUCUGAAAUUUGGAGAGAGAGUGCAUCACUGCUGCAACCAAUCAACCAUGGUGAUUUCGUGUCAAUCUGGGAAUGAGUGCUGCAGACAUGGCUUAUCACAGGCCUUUCCGAUUGGAGGCUGUGAGGCUUACGUUUGACCUUGGGUCAGCUUUGGCGAACUGUUGGCACUUUGUGCUGUCUACCCCUCCCUGGCACUUUGUGCUGUCUACCCCUCCCUGGCACUUUGUGCUGUCUCCCAUCCCUGGCACUUUGUGCUGUCUCCCCUCCCUGGCAAGCUGUGCUGUCCUCCCACUCCCUGGCACGCUGCCCUGUCUUCCACUCCCCUGGCACUUUGUGCUGUCUACCCUCCCUGGCACUUUGUGCUGUCUACCCUCUCCCCCGGCACUUUGUGCUGUCUCCUGGCACUUUGUGCUGUCAAGAAAAAGUGAAAGACAAAGAAAUAUCAAAGCUGAAAGAAAUAUCUGAAAUAUACCCGAAAUAUACCCUCCCUGGCACUUUGUGCUGUUGAACUGAGACUCUAUCUGAGACUAUACAUCUAUCUAUCUGAGACUAUACAUCUAUCUAUCUGAUCUAUCUCAUCCAUCUGAGACUAUCUAUCUGUAUAUUCCCUGACACUUUGUGCUGUCAAACUGAGACUAUCUAUCUAUCUAUCUGAGACUCUAUCUAGGAGGCGAUCUGAGCGGCGAAUCGAGAGACUAAACUACACUACCUGUUGGUUGUUGCAUUCAUUUUUAAAGAGAACAACUUGGUGAACGACUACUAUAUUAGUGUUACUAUAUUCUGAUUAUCAUUAAUUGUGUUUUGUGUACAGCUUGAUUAAUUUUUAAACUAAGUCUAGACAGCAUUGAUUGAUAAAAGUAGCUGAGCCAAAAGAUAUUUGUAAUAUAACCUUGCCUUUUUAUUUUGAACCAAGAGUUCUCUUUAUA